Molecule: transfer RNA, 71 nt
Filed under: Verrucomicrobiota bacterium
Lineage: Bacteria; Pseudomonadati; Verrucomicrobiota
Description: Verrucomicrobia bacterium tRNA-Gln
Rfam family: tRNA
About the family: Transfer RNA (tRNA) molecules are approximately 80 nucleotides in length. Their secondary structure includes four short double-helical elements and three loops (D, anti-codon, and T loops). Further hydrogen bonds mediate the characteristic L-shaped molecular structure. tRNAs have two regions of fundamental functional importance: the anti-codon, which is responsible for specific mRNA codon recognition, and the 3' end, to which the tRNAs corresponding amino acid is attached (by aminoacyl-tRNA synthetases). tRNAs cope with the degeneracy of the genetic code in two manners: having more than one tRNA (with a specific anti-codon) for a particular amino acid; and 'wobble' base-pairing, i.e. permitting non-standard base-pairing at the 3rd anti-codon position.
Source: RNAcentral
UGCCUCGUGGUGUAAUGGUAGCACAAGAGAUUCUGGAUCUCUCUGUCUAGGUUCGAAUCCUAGCGAGGCAG